AUGGUGCCAAAGCCUGGCUCCAGGAGCUCAAGACAGUGGCCUAUGAGGCAAAUGAAGUCUUCGAUGAAUUCAAGUACGAAGCACUCCGCCGUGAAGCCAGGAAGAAGGGGCACUACAGAGAGCUUGGCUUCGAUGUUCAAGUACCGACCACAGCCGCCGGUGCCCAAGCAGUGGAGGCAGACGGAUUCUGUUAUCACCGACCUGCAAGACAUUGCCAGCAGAUCCAGAGACAAGGAUAAGAAGAAUAUUGUUGCUACACUACUUGGUCAAGCUGACAAUGCAGAUUUCACGGUUGUUCCCGUUGUUGGAAUGGGGGGCCUUGGCAAGACCACAUUAGCGCAACUCAUAUACAAUGAUCCUGAAAUUCAGAAGCAUUUCCAGUUGCUGCUCUGGGUCUGUGUCUCUGAUACAUUUGAUGUGAACUCCCUGGCCAAGAGUAUAGUUGAAGCAUCUCCCAAUAAGAAUGUCGAUACAGACAAACCACCACUGGAUAGACUUCAAAAAUUGGUCAGCAGACAGCGGUAUCUCCUUGUAUUGGAUGAUGUUUGGGACAACAAAGAGUUACGUAAGUGGGAAAGGCUGAAGGUAUGUCUUCAGCAUGGUGGCAUGGGCAGUGCAGCGUUGACAACAACUCGUGAUAAACGAGUUGCUGAAAUUAUGGAUGCAGAUAGGGCAGCCUACAAUCUCAAUGCUUUGGAGGAUCACUUCAUAAAGGAAAUUAUUGUGGAUAGAGCAUUCAGUUCAGAGAAUGGAAAGCCUCCCGAGCUACUCGAGAUGGUUGGUAAGAUUGUGAAGAGAUGUUGUGGCUCUCCAUUAGCUGCAACUGCAUUGGGUUCUGUACUUCGUACCAAGACCAUCGUGAAAGAAUGGAAGGCUAUAGCAUCUAGAAGCAGCAUUUGCACCGAGGAAACUGGAAUCUUGCCAAUACUCAAGCUUAGCUACAACGACUUACCAUCGCACAUGAAGCAGUGCUUUGCUCUCUGUGCUGUAUUUCCCAAGGAUUACAAGAUUGAUGUGGAGAAGCUAAUCCAACUAUGGAUCGCAAAUGGCUUUAUCCCAGAACACAAGGAAGAUAGUCUUGAAACCGUUGGAAAACAUAUUUUUUAUGACUUGGCAUCAAGGUCGUUUUUUGUGGAGAUAGAGGAAAGUAAAAAAGGCUGGCAGGGUUAUUCGAGAAUUACAUGUAAAAUCCAUGAUCUUAUGCAUGAUAUUGCAAUGUCUGUUAUGGGAAAGGAAUGUGUUGUUGCAACUAUGGAACCAAGUGAAAUUGAGUGGCUUCCAGAUACUGCUCGGCAUUUGUUCUUGUCAUGUGAAGAAACAGACCGUAUUUUGAAUGCUACCUUGGAGGAAAGAUCCCCUGCUAUUCAAACAUUGCUAUGCGAUAGUUAUGUGUUCAGCCCAUUGCAGCAUCUAUCAAAAUACAACACUUUGCAUGCCUUGAAGCUCCGUAUGUUAACUGAAUCAUUUCUACUCAAACCAAAGUAUCUGCAUCACCUGAGGUACUUUGAUCUCUCAGAAAGUCGUAUGAAAGCACUUCCUGAGGAUAUAAGUAUUCUAUAUAACCUGCAAGUGUUGGACCUUUCCAACUGCCCUUAUCUUGAACGACUUCCAAGGCAAAUGAAGUAUAUGACUUCCCUCUGCCACCUCUACACUCAUGGAUGCUGGAAGUUGAAGAGCAUGCCUCCAGGACUUGAAAAUCUCACUAAGCUGCAGACUCUCACAGUUUUUGUAGCAGGAGUUCCUGGCCCUGAUUGCGCUGAUGUUGGAGAGCUGCAUGGUCUAAACAUUGGUGGUCAGCUAGAGCUAUGCCAGGUAGAGAAUGUUGAAAAAGCAGAAGCAAAAGUGGCAAACCUUGGUGGUCAGCUAGAGCUACAACGGGUAGAGAAUGUUAAAAAAGCAGAGGCAAAAGUGGCGAGUCUUGGAAACAAGAAGGAUCUCCGUGAACUGACAUUAAGAUGGACUGAGGUUGGCGACAGCAAGGUGCUUGACAAGUUCGAACCUCAUGGUGGGCUGCAGGUUCUGAAGAUAUAUUCCUAUGGAGGAGAGUGCAUGGGUAUGCUGCAAAACAUGGUUGAGAUCCAUCUUUAUCAUUGUGAAGGAUUGCAAAUUUUGUUCAGAUGCAGUGCAAUCUUCACUUUUCCAAAACUGAAGGUGCUUAUGCUAGAACAUUUGUUGAGUUUUGAAAGAUGGUGGGAAAUCGAUGAGAGGCAUGAAGAACAGACUAUAUUUCCUGUGCUUGAGAAGUUGUUUAUUAGAAAUUGUGGAAAGUUGGUAGCAUUACCUGAAACACCAUUGUUGCAAGGACCUUGUGGUGAAGGUGGUUAUACAUUGGUACGCUCAGCGUUUCCUGCCCUAAAGGUGUUCAAAAUGGAAAACUUGGAGAGCUUUCAAAGAUGGGAUGCAGUCGAAGAGACUCAAGGAGAACAGAUAAUGUUUCCUUGUCUUGAGGAACUAUCAAUUCAGGAAUGCCCGAAGCUGAUAAAUUUACCUGAAGCACCAUUGCUUCAAGAACCAUGUAGUGAAGGUGGUUAUAGAUUGGUACGUUCAGCCUUUCCUGCCCUAAAGGUGCUCACUAUGAAAUGCUUGGAUAGUUUUCAGAGAUGGGAUGCUGCUACUGAAGGUGAACUGAUAUUGUUUCCUCAGCUUGAGAAACUAUCAAUUGAGGAAUGCCCAAAGGUAAUAGGUUUACCUGAAGCACCAAAACUCAGUGUACUAUACAUUGAAGAUGGCAAGCAAGAGAUCUUCCACUGUGUAGACAGGUAUUUGUCUUCAUUGACCAAUUUGACACUGAGGCUAGAACACACAGAAACAACAUCAGAGGCUGAAUGCACUUCAAUUGUACUGGCGGACAGCAAAGAGAAAUGGAACCAGAAAUCCCCUCUUACAGUUGUGGAGUUAGGAUGCUGCAACUCAUUCUUUGGACCAGGUGCACUAGAGCCGUGGGACUAUUUUGUACACCUUGAAAAGUUGGAAAUUGGUAGAUGCGAUGUGCUCGUCCACUGGCCAGAGAAAGUGUUCCAAAGCUUGGUAUCCUUGAGGAGGUUAGAGAUUAGUAGCUGCAGAAGUCUGACUGGAUAUGCGGAAGCUCCUCUUGAGCCAUCAGCAUCCAAAAGGAGUCAACACCUGCCAGGUCUGGAGUCCCUUAAUUUAUAUCAUUGUGCAAAUUUAGUAGAGAUGUUCAACGUCCCAGCAUCUCUCAAGAAAAUGGAUAUUUAUGGGUGCAUUAAGCUUGAGUCCAUAUUCAGCAAGCAACAGGGCAUGGCAGAGUUUGUCCAAGUAUCUUCUAGCAGUGAGGAAAUCAUGCCUGCAGCUGUAUCAGAGUUGCCAUCCUCACCCAUGAAUUACUUUUGUCCAUGCCUAGAAGAGCUAAGUUUAAUUGAAUGUGGAAGCUUACCAGCGGUUUUAAAUCUGCCUCCAUCCUUAAAGGACAUAUUUAUUGCUGGCUGCAAUAGCAUUCAAGUCCUAUCAUGUCAGCUGGGUGGGCUCCAGAAACCAGAAGCCACUACCUCCAUAAGCAGAAGUCCUAUCAUGCCAGAGCCACCAGCUGCAACAACACCAACUGCAAGAGAGCAUUUACUUCCUCCCCAUCUCGAAUCUCUAGUAAUAUUGAACUGUGCUCGCAUGUUGGGUGGGACUCUCCGUCUGCCUGCACCCCUCACGACACUGCGCAUUAUUGGCAGCAGUGGGUUGACAUCGCUGGAGUGUCUGUCGGGAGAGCACCCCCCCAUCGCUGGAGUUCCUUGA
RNAcentral lists this ribosomal RNA (3744 nucleotides) under Triticum aestivum (bread wheat). RNAcentral describes it as "partial small subunit ribosomal RNA". Lineage: Eukaryota; Viridiplantae; Streptophyta; Magnoliopsida; Poales; Poaceae. The record is from RNAcentral.